UGGACGAAGUCUGACGGAGCACGCCGCGUGAACGAUGAAGGCUUUCGGGUCGUAAAGUUCUGUUGUCAGGGAAGAACAAGUACCGGAGUAACUGCCGGUACCUUGACGGUACCUGACCAGAAAGCCACGGCUAACUACGUGCCAGCAGCCGCGGUAAUACGUAGGUGGCAAGCGUUGUCCGGAAUUAUUGGGCGUAAAGCGCGCGCAGGCGGUUCCUUAAGUCUGAUGUGAAAGCCCCCGGCUCAACCGGGGAGGGUCAUUGGAAACUGGGGAACUUGAGUGCAGAAGAGGAGAGCGGAAUUCCACGUGUAGCGGUGAAAUGCGUAGAGAUGUGGAGGAACACCAGUGGCGAAGGCGGCUCUCUGGUCUGUAACUGACGCUGAGGCGCGAAAGCGUGGGGAGCGAACAGGAUUAGAUACCCUGGUAGUCCACGCCGUAAACGAUGAGUGCUAAGUGUUAGAGGGUUUCCGCCCUUUAGUGCUGCAGCAAACGCAUUAAGCACUCCGCCUGGGGAGUACGGCCGCAAGGCUGAAACUCAAAGGAAUUGACGGGGGCCCGCACAAGCGGUGGAGCAUGUGGUUUAAUUCGAAGCAACGCGAAGAACCUUACCAGGUCUUGACAUCCUCUGACAACCCUAGAGAUAGGGCGUUCCCCUUCGGGGGACAGAGUGACAGGUGGUGCAUGGUUGUCGUCAGCUCGUGUCGUGAGAUGUUGGGUUAAGUCCCGCAACGAGCGCAACCCUUGAUCUUAGUUGCCAGCAUUCAGUUGGGCACUCUAAGGUGACUGCCGGUGACAAACCGGAGGAAAGGUGGGGAUGACGUCAAA
Molecule: ribosomal RNA, 825 nt
Filed under: uncultured Bacillus sp.
Lineage: Bacteria; Bacillati; Bacillota; Bacilli; Caryophanales; Bacillaceae
Description: bacterial SSU rRNA
Rfam family: Bacterial small subunit ribosomal RNA
Source: RNAcentral